UUGUUUUUCUUCAUUUGAUACCACCUUGGAGCAAAAGCAACAAAAAUUUGUCGCUUCCUCACCUAAAAACAACAAAGGGAUAAACCCUGAGUAUGGAAUUACUCAGCAAGUCUUACCCGACUAAAGAAAAGACUCUCAAGGUGUCGGUGUUUUGGGUCCGACCGCACACCCGGGGUUGCCCCUCAAGGUGUUUUUAGGAGUAGGACGGUGUCGACGACUGUAGCAAAAUGGUCCGUGCCGAUCGCACGAGGGACAAUGGACAAGAUUUGCAGGUUCGGGCCGCUUAGAGAUGCGUAACACCCUACGUCCUGAUGAGUGUUCGAGUGUGGUUACAAGAGGACUCUCUGGGUUGAAGGCACAGAGAGUUUACGUGGGUGGCUAAGUAAAGUAGGGUCGAUCGUUCUGAAGGGGUGCCCCCUAGGCCUUAUAUACUCGACCGUGGGGCAGUACACGUGGAUAUGAUAACAACAAGUAGCUAAAAGAUAGUGAACCUCUUGAGUUUAUCCCUACGUAACCCUCGCCGACUUAUCCUCGCAUGGCUCCGUUGCAUGGGGGCUUCAGCGCGGGAAAGUCGGGUCUCUGUUGCGAUUCAUUCGUUCGACGUUGUGGGCCGUCCGGGUUUGCACCAAUCCAGUCUCAUGUCUUCUCUUCUUUGUUGGUUGUCUUUCCCCAGGCCCACGAAAGAAUGACCUUACGAAUUAUUGGGCCCUUGGGCCUUUCGUGAGGUCUUUUACUUCUUUAGUGGACCCAGGGGAUAUCUAUCCCCCACAAGCCCCCGAUCUUUGGGUUGAUUUAGAGGUAAUCAACUCAAAGAUCCAAGGUCCAAAAAAUGACUUCCUGCUGUCUUCUCUUGCUCUGAUCACUCGUUCGACCAAAGUUUAGUUUUGUGCUUGUGCCUUAGAGGUCGGCAUUUUGAAUUGUAGGAUUCUGGACUUCAUUGGGUGCACCGGAGGUGCACCCAAUGGGUGUAGACCCCGACCUUUGAGUAGAUUUUAGAAGAUAAUCUACUCGAAGGUCUUCCCCAAAGAUUAUCUCCAUUCGCGCUCCUGCAUCUCGGUUGAGGAUUGGUCUUUUCAAUCUUGUCCCACGCCUUAGAAGUCGGCACUAUAUCGGUUUAGAAUGAUAAUCCAUGGGGUGCACCAAAGGUGCACCCAAUGGGUGUAGCCCCCGACCUUCAAAUGGAUUUUUUAAGGAUAAUCCGUUCGAAGGUCUUCCUUUUGCUUGUAAAAGUUGGCGUGAAGCUAUUCGCAUUAUGCUUUGGAGGUCAGCAUUAUGUCAUCCGGAUUUUGCUGCCGAGGUCAGCAUAUAUUUUGUCUCUAGCAGCCGAGUUUGCAAUCCAUCCAUAUCUUGCUAGGUAAUGCAAUUUAUUUGCUUCUGCGACUUGAUUGGACGUUUGAUGGACGUUCUCUGUCUAGUCCUCACAUCGCUUCUGUCGGCCGUCUCUUGUACUUUGCUGGCUAUAUUUGGCUUUCCUCUGAUCCUUACUGAUAUCUCAUUUUUGUCUUGAAGUAUUUUACUGCGUGCCCUGCACGGAUGUGACCGUUUUGAAAAAUAUACUGAUAAUUCCUGGGCGUCCCCCCCCCAAUGGGUGUGGGCAAGGGACGGCUUGGUACGCUGAGUGUUUUAGCCGGCUGCUUCUGAGUAGUAAUGUGAUGGGACGGCUUGUGUAAUCAUAUCCUUUGUGCUGUUGACUGGAGUCCCAAUGGGUGUGGUGCUGCAUGAAACGGCGUCCGUCGUCUGACGUGUCUUCAGAUGGGUGGGAGUGCUUAUUGAAUGCUUUGUGACUGUUCAGUGACCGCGGUUGGAAGUGAGCGGUUGCCUUUCCCUUCUAUAAAUAACGCCUUUGCUUCUCUGGUUUUUUCACAUCUCUUCGCUGUUCUUUACUGCCUUCUUCUCCUCCCUUCUGUCUGCUUCCACCAUGGGCAAGGGUACCAAGCGCAAGCGCGAGCCGACUCCUCCGUCGGAUGAUUUCGGUGACUCGGAAUACUCGGAGGAGGAGUUCUCCUCCGAGUCCGAGGGAUCUCCGGCUCCCGUCUCUCCCCCGGCGUCGUCUGAUGAUUUAGACGACUCCCAGGGGAUUGCCGCGGAGGUCUGGACGUACAUCCGGGCCGUCGAGCGCUCCGGGCUCGAGGGCUCGGAUGAGUCUGAGUUCUCCUCGGACGAGGAGGACUCGGACGGCGGCGAGGACGAAGAUGACGACGACGACGACGGCGACGACGACGACGACGGUGGCAACGGCGACGGUGACGGCAGCAACGGCGGCGGGGGCAGCGGCGGCAAGGGCAGCACCAGAGGCGGCGGCAGUACGGGCAGCACCAGAGGCGGCAGUAGCAAGGGCAGCACCAGGGGCGGCGGUGGCAGGGGCAGCAGCAGCAAGGGCAGCACCAGAGGCGGCGGCAGUACGGGCAGCACCAGAGGCGGCAGUAGCAAGGGCAGCACCAGGGGCGGCGGUGGCAGGGGCAGCAGCAGCAAGGCCAGUGGCUAAACGCCACUGGUUUUUAGAUAUUAGUAUAGCGUAGUUAGAAUAAUGUAGUAGUAAUGUAGAGUAGUAUAGUGUAGUUUAGUAGUAGUAGUAAUGUAGAGUAGAAGUAGGGAAGCACCAACUCGCGAAGAGUUGGUUUGUAAACUUAUUAACUUCCCCUUAAUGAAGAACUGUCGUUGGCCCCAUCUCGAUGAUUCACUUUCUCUGAUUGUUGAACUGGUUUUUUUUGAUAUAGUAGAUGAAUAACUUGCGCAUCACGUUGACGCUUCCAGAAGUAGCUGCUGAGUAAUAUUGUAGUCGGCAUCGGCGUUUUAGAAGCAACGCCGAGCGAUUGAAGGUUGACAUCAGCGUUUUAGGAGUAACACCGAGCAAUCGAACACGAAACCAUCGUUUUAGAGGCAGCGCCGAGUCAGUGAAGGUCGACAUCGGCAUUUUAGAAGUGACGCCGAGCGAUCAAACACGCGAUCGGCGUUUUAAAGGCCACGCCGAGUGACUGAAGGUCGGCGUCGGCAUUUUAGAAGUAAUGCCGAGCAAUAGAAUACAAGUUCAGCGUUUUGGAGGCAACGCCGAGUGAUUGGAGGUCGGCGUCGGCGUUUUAGAAGUAACGUCGAGCGAUUGAACACGAGAUCGGCGUGUUAGAGGCCACGCCAAGUGAUUGAAGGUUAGCGUCGGCGUUUUAGAAGUAAUGUCGAGCGAUAGAACACAGGAUCAGCGUUUUAGAGGCAACGCCGAGUGACUGAAGGUCGGCGUCGGCAUUUUAGAAGUAAUGCCGAGCGAUAGAAUGCAAGUUCAGCGUUUUGGAGGCAACGCCGAGUGAUUGGAGGUCGGCGUCGGCGUUUUAGAAGUAAUGUCGAGCGAUUGAACACGAGAUCGGCGUGUUAGAGGCCACGCCGAGUGAUUGAAGGUUAGCGUCGGCUUUUUCGGAAAUAACAGCCAGAUGUCCACGUGGCAUGCUGAGGUUUCGGAAAUAACCGCCGGGUGAUGACUGGGCACUUUUUGAAGCGGUAUCUGGCUCAAGAAUAUCCCAUAAGAGUUGCGCUUUUAGCCGCCUUUGCUUUCCGUGCCCUAGUUCUUGCAUUUCCGCAUCUGAAUCUUCUCUGCCACUCGCCUCCUACUCUGUUCGCCAGUGAGAAGCAAGAUGGCGCCCAAGAGGAAAACUGUGAACUCGUCUGCUGCAGUGAUCCCCGCAAUCGACCCCAACAGUCAGUUACCCUUCGCAGGUAACCAUAUGUCUGUUAUUUCCGAAGCUGAGCUUCUCCGUCUUGUCUCCAUCGGGGUUCUUCCUCCGCGGGAACUCUAUUCUUGGCGGAUUUGCCACGGGACUACUGACCCAACCGAAGAUACCCACGAGUCAGUAGUUUACGCUCCUUUCCUUCUCCGCGGCCUCGGCCUUCCCAUCUCUCCUUUUUUCUGUGGCCUCCUUGAUUUUUAUCAUAUCAACUUGACUCAUUUGAACCCUAAUUCCAUUCUCCAAAUCUCCAUUUUCGUUCACCUAUGCGAAGCCUACCUCGGUGUGCUGCCGCAUUUCGGUUUAUGGAAGUAUCUGUAUCAUUGCCGUCCUGGAAUGGCUGGGGGGCAACAUCAGCUGGUCGGAGGUGCCAGUUUGGAGAUGCGCCGUGGGCGGAAGACCGAGUAUCUUGAGAUUCCCCUCAAAGAUAGCAUUAAAGGUUGGCGUCUGGAGUGGUUUAUAGUUGAUAAUUAUGGAAAUUCUCUCCCUUCCCGGUCAGGAAGACAGCCAGACGUUCGUACUCCGAGUUGGACUGAGUCUCCCACAGAUCAGGAAGUGGCCAAGGCAGGUGUGUUGCUUACUGAAGUCGGAUUACUGAAAGAGAGAGGUCUGACUGCCGAAGCUGUGGUCACUGAUUUUGUUUUCAAGAACAUUCAGCCACUGAAAGACAGGGCCUAUCCGGCAUAUCUGUAUCGAGGGCUGGCCGACUCAACUCGGGUUACCAAUAGGAGAAUUCCUUCUGUUGACUUGGUAAGCCGUCUUGAAAUGAUCCUCAGGGGUAAAGUUUCAAAUGUUGGUGCUCCAGUGGCAUACUCGGCUUGGAACCUACCUCCUCCCAAAGCUUUCACCCUUUUUGUGUCCAAUCCGCCCAUGACUGAUAGCAAUUUGGGUCUUAGAGUGCGACCCUCUGCUGAAGAAGUCUGUACUUUGGUUGCUUCGCUCGGGGAGAUUCCUGAUGAUGAACGGCAGGUUUAUUUUGAAGUGCCCCUGAACCCUAGUGAUGCAGACAUAAAUGACAUGCUUGAUCUGUUAGCUGAGGAUUCAUCUGAUGCUGCUCCUGAUGGUACAUUGGCAGUGGUGCCCCUUCCAGAGGUUGAUACAACUUUGGAUGUCCCGAAACCUGUUAGUGCUCGCCCGAGGCGCCCUAGCCGAACUAGUCAGCCCGAGCCUUCUGCUGAUGAGCAAAAGAAGAAGAGAAGACGCCUCCGGCGAGUAUCCAGUUUUGAUGAGGACGCAGUACCUUAGCUCCUGCUGCUGAAGAAAUGACUGCAACUGGCCUUGCUGACAUUGAUCCCAAUGGGUGUGCUCCACCUGUUGCUGACCCCAAUGAGGAUGCGACUUGCGCUGUUACUGUGGAAGAUGAGGAGGAAGAAAAUGAAGCUCCAUUAACUCGGAAAAACAGUCGGCAGUUCGUCGCCAGCGGUGGAAGUAGUGGAGUUCCUUCUCCUGCUUUGUCUACCCUUAUUGGUCUGCAAGAACUGUCCAUGGCCAACUUUGAUCAAACUCUAGAGGAUAUGGUCCCGGAGAACUUGUUGUCAGAGCCUGUGGAUGUUGAUGCAACAGAGACUUGUGCAGCCGCGCCCGAUGCUGGGUUGAGGUCAUCCCGUGCCUCGUCAACCUUAGAGCAUGAUCUCGAGGGUCGGGAUGCUGGCUUGGAUUGUCCUGGUCCCAUGGAAGUAGCUAAAGGCCCGUCAACCUUAGAGGUGGUUACGGCAGAGAGCUUGGACCCCUUGAAUAGUGCCGACACGUGCCCAGCCCCCGAGGAUGUCGCUGGGGAAGACUUAGCUCGGGUGAGGAGUAUAAGCCACUGCCCAGCCCCCGAGGGUGUUGCCGGGGAUGAUCCGGCUCAAGUGGGCAGUGCCAACUGUGACCCAGCCCCCGAGGGUGUCCGAGCAAGGUCUCCUUCCUGCACUUCCAUGGAUGUUCAUGCGGGUUCACCUCCACACUCUGGCGGCAUGGUGGUGGCCCAAACUCUGGAUCAGGGAGUUGCUUUAGAGGGCAGCGUCCCCACUGGUCUGGCGUUUGGUUCUGUUGAAGGCACUGAGCUCGUUUCUACUGGUCCGUUGCAAGCUGUUCCGGGUGGUGGUCUGGCAUCUGAUUAUCAGCUGAUUUCUCCUGAUUUGGGGAUCCCUUCGUUCUUUUCCAAUCUCCAGGUACUGUGCUAUACUUUUAGCUUGAUCUUUACGCUGCAUGAAUUUUCGUCAUUAUGUUCAUCCGUUCUUCUCAUCAGGCUUUGGUGGAUGGGAUGGCCAGCCAGCUGAGAUCGCAGGGUGCUUCCGUCCCAGAAGUGGCUUCAUCUCUUGAGCGUUGGAAUCCGGUGUCACUUCAUCGUUGUGUAUCCGAGUUGGAGGCAACUAAUGCUGGUUAGUGCCCUUCUUCUUCUUCUUUGCCUUUGUUCGUGGACUGUUUUACCUUCUGACCUCAUUUCGUUUGAUUACCUCUUGAUAGGAAUGACUCGGCAGAUUGCAGUCCUUGAGGAAAAACAUUCCCGAGAUCAAGCUGAAAUGGCUCAACGGUGUGCUGACUUCGAGGAUAAGUAUUCUCAGAGUCAGACUGAACUAAAUCAGGUCUCCGCUGCUUUGGAUGACGCCAACGCUCUGAGUUCUUCUCUUCACGCUCGGCUUGACUCCGAAAAGGUAACUUACAAAACCGUGCUUCGCCUUAUUACAUGCUUGAAUUCUGAAUGAGUUGAUUUUUGUUUAUAGGAAGAAAAACGCAUCCUUGCUGCUUCUCGCGACAAUCUGGACAGAUUGUAUCGAGACUCUAGCAACUCGCUAACCAUCUUGGAGAGGAGCCACCGUUUUACGAUGGAAGAACUGGACAAUCAGCGUCGCCGGCUGCAAGAAUCUGCGGACGAAGUGACCCGCCUCAAGCAACUGAUAUCAGCGAAGGAUGCCACCAUCAAGGGACUCCGAGCUUCUAAGAAAUCCAUUACUCAGGAGUUAGAAACUACUCAGCUGGCUGCUAAAGUUGCCGAGGAAACUGCUGUCACUCUUAAAGCUCAGCGUGAUAAAGCCAUGGACAAGGCUAUUCGGGCGGGACGAAUCUUGAUGAGAAGACCCGGCGUGGUUGUCCCUGACGACAUAAGAGCCGAUGUGAAUGCUGCCCCCGAUUCUUCGAAUCGCCCUUCUUCGUCAGUCGCUCCUGAGAAAGACAUUGGAAAAUAGAGAAACAUUUCGCGUGCUAUGAGCGCGCGGUUAGCAUGAUCAAGUACUCGUUAGGGGUUAUCAGCUUAUCAUUCGAAUGAUAUGAUCACUCUCUUAUUGUAUCAGAAUUAAUUCGCAAGUUUGUGGUAACGCUGCAUGAUGAUUAUGAAGUUUGUUUUCGGGAUAUGGAAGUCAUCCCCUGAAUUGCAUAAGCGUGAGUAUGUUGCACUGGCUUAAGCCAUCGCUGACUUAAGUCGAUUGCUCCGUUUGUAGGGCAUAGUGUUCACCCCGAAUUAAGUAAGCGUGAGCAUGUUGCACCGCCUUAAGUCGUUGCCGACUUAAGUCGAUUGCUCCGUUUGUCGGGCAUAGUGGUCACCCCAAAUUAAGUAAGCGUGAGCAUGUUGCACCGCCUUAAGUCGUUGCCGACUUAAGUCAAUUGCUCCGUUUGUAGGGCAUAGUGGUCACCCUAAAUUAAGUAAGCGUGAGCAUGUCGCACCGCCUUGAGUCAUUGCCGACUUAAGUCGAUUGCUCCGUUUGUAGGGCAUAGUGGUCACCCCAAAUUAAGUAAGCGUGAGCAUGUCGCACCGCCUUAAGUCGUUGCCGACUUAAGUCGAUUGCUCCGUUUGUAGGGCAUAGUGGCCACCCCAAAUUAAGUAAGCGUGAGCAUGUUGCACCGCCUUAAGUCGUUGCCGACUUAAGUCGAUUGCUCCGUUUGUAGGGCAUAGUGGUCACCCCGAGUUAAGUAAGAAUGCAAGUCAAUCAUAAACGAGCCGAGUAUCUUUGAAAUCUCUCUUUAUUGAUGACGUAUUUCCAUUUUACAGAAUACAUGGUCGCCCCAGCUGUUUUGAAAUACAGCUAGGGGUAAAACUUUCUGAGGUGCUCUAUGUUCCAGGAGUUCCCAACUUCUGUGCCAUCCAUCUGGGUGAGGCGAUACGAUCCGGGCCGAGUGACCUCUGCCACUAUGAAAGGCCCUUCCCAUAAGGGUGAUAACUUGUGCCGUCCCUCCCCCGUUAGAAUUCGGCGGAGGACGAGGUCUCCUAUCGAAAAGAAACGUUGCCGCACAGCCUUGUCGUGAUAGCGCCUUAGAGUCUGCUGGUACCGUGCUGAUUGGAUUACUGCAUUCAGUCGUUCUUCCUCAAGUACAUCAAUAUCCUCCAGCCUGGUGGCCUCGGCUUCUGCUAUGCUUUCGAAGAUCAAUCUUGGCGCCCCAAACUUGAGAUCAGUAGGUAGCACUGCCUCCGACCCAUAGACCAUGAAGAAAGGAGUGUUUCCAUGCAGGGCUCGGCUAGGUUGGGUUCUCAGGCUCCAAACAACAUAAGGCAGCUCCCUUAUCCAUUUUCCUGCGAAUUUUUCAUUCUUAUCGAAGACCCUUUUCCUGAGUGCCUCCAAUAUCAUUCCGUUGGCUCGCUCAACCUGCCCGUUGGCUCUUGGAUGUGCUACAGACACGUACUUGAUCUGAAUGCUCUUUUGCUCGCAGAAGUCAAAGAAUUCUGAACUGGUGAAGUUGGAUCCCAAGUCAGUGAUGAUACUGUUUGGUAUCCCGAAUCUGAAUAUUAUGCUUUGUAUGAAUUCCACGGCUUUAGCAGAGGUUAAAGAAGCAAUGGGCUAGAACUCUAUCCAUUUAGUGAAUUUGUCAAUUGCCACCAAUACAUGGGUAUAUCCUCCUUGAGCUUUCUUGAAAGGUCCAAUCAUAUCCAGUCCCCAGCAUGCGAAAGGCCAAGUUACUGGUAUGGUCUGUAGCUGCUGUGCUGGCAUGUGCUGUUGCUUUGACAGGUAUUGGCAAGCUUCGCAUCUCUGAACUAACUCGGCUGCAUCGUUCUUCGCCGUCGGCCAAUAGAAUCCUGACCUAAAAACCUUCCCGACUAGUGUUCUGGAUGCUGCAUGUACUCCACACUGCCCUGCAUGGACUUCCUCCAGAAGUUGCUUCCCGGUAGACGGGAGAACGCACUUCAUGAGGACGCCUGACGCGCCCCUCCUGUAUAAUACCUCCCCAAUGAGUGUAUAGUGAGCUGAUUGUCUAGCAAUGCGCUCUGCCGAGUUCUUGUCAUCUGGUUCUUCUUCAUUCUUUAUAUACUUAAUAAUCGGCCGUCUCCAGUCAUCAGAGUCUGACUCGGGUUGAUCUAUGAUGUUGCACUCUUCUGUUUGAUCCAUCGAGAUACUCGGCUGGAGAAUUUCUUGCACGAAGACCCCGGGCAGGACCUGAGUCCGACCGGAUCCGAGCUUGGACAGUACAUCGGUCGCCGUGUUCCGAUCUCUUUCUAUAUGAUGAAACUCCAGACCCUCGAAUUUAUCUUCCAGCUUUCGGACGGCGGCGCAGUAUUUUCCCAUUGAAUCACUUGAACAAUCCCAUUCCUUGUUUAUCUGGCUGAUGACUACCAGAGAAUCUCCAUAUACCAUCAGUCUCUUGACGCCCAGUGAUAUGGCGAUGUUUAAUCCGUGUAUCAAAGCUUCAUACUCGGCUGCGUUGUUAGAGGCCGGGAAUAGCAGCUGGAGAGCAUACUUGAGGUGUUCGCCUCCAGGUGCAGUGAAGAGAAUCCCUGCUCCUGCUCCCUGCAGCUUCAGCGAGCCAUCAAAAUACAUUCGCCAUACUUCUGCCGUUUCUGGAUUGUCUGGAACUUGCUGUUCUGUCCAUUCUGAUACGAAGUCAACCAGUGCUUGAGUUUUGAUGGCAGUGCGAGGUCGGAACUCGAUAUCGUGGGAUCCCAACUCGCAAGCCCACUUGGCUAUUCGGCCAAUGGCUUCCUUGUUGUGAAGAAUGUCCCCUAUUGGAAAACCAGUAACUACUAUGACUUUGUGGUCGUCAAAGUAGUGACGCAGCUUGCGGGCAGUUAGAAGUACUGCAUAUAAUAGCUUCUGAACCUGAGGAUACUUUUUCUUCGAGGGGCCUAGAACUUCACUGAUGAAGUAAACAGGAUGUUGUACUGGAUAGGCAUGUCCUUCUUCUACUCGCUCGACUACCAACGCAGUGCUUACCACGUGAGUCGUGCAAGAGAUAUACAGCAACAAAUCCUCAGCCGGUUGAGUCGGCGUAGCUCGCCGGGGUGGUUUCAAUACUGGUGGUGUUGUCAAGAAUUUCUUCAGUGCGUCUAGAGCUUCUUGUGCUUCUGAAGUCCACUGAAACUUAUCCACCUUCUUGAGUAGUUUGUAAAAUGGCAAACCUUUUUCUCCCAGCCUGGAUAUAAAUCUGCUCAAAGCUGCCAUACAUCCAGUGAGUCGCUGAACCUUCUUUUGUGACCGAGGAGCUUCCAUCUUCAUGAUAGCUUCAAUCUUAUCUGGAUUAGCCUCAAUUCCCCGGUGGCUGACGAUAAAUCCGAGCAACUUUCCUGCUGGUACCCCGAAAACACAUUUUUCAGGAUUGAGCUUCCAUCUAUAUCUUCUCAGGCUGUUGAAAACCAGCUGUAAAUCUUCGAUGAAGUUUUCCUAAUUCUCUGUUUUAAUCACCACGUCAUCUACGUAAGCCUCCACACGCUUGCCCCAGUGAUCGGCUAAGCAUGUUUGAAUGGCUCUCUGAUAAGUCGCUCCAGCGUUUUUGAGGCCGAACGGCAUGGAGGUAUAACAAAAAGCACCAAACGGGGUGAUGAACGCCAUUUUUUCCUCGUCUUCCUUUGCCAAACUAAUCUGAUGAUACCCGGAAUAGCAAUCUAAGAAAGACAGCACAGAACAUCCAGCGGUGGAAUCCACCACUUGAUCUAUCCUCGGGAGCCCGAAGGGAUCCUUCAGACAGUGUUUGUUGAGAUCAGUAUAGUCGACGCACAUGCGCCAAUCCACUUUAUUCUUUUUGAGUACAAGAACAGGGUUGGCUAACCACUCGGGGUGUAAUACUUCUCUAAUAAAUCCAGCCGCGACCAAGCGAGCUAACUCGGCUCGAAUGGCCUCUCUCUUGUCGGGCGUGAAACGACGUAGCUUUUGCCGGAUCGGCCUCGCCUGAGGAUAGACCUUCAAUUUGUGCUCGGCCAGUUCUCUUGGGACUCCCGGCAUAUCCGCAGGUUGCCAUGUGAAUACGUCUCGGUUAUCUUGCAGGAACUGGACGAGCGCGUUUUCCUAUUUGUCAUUCAAACUGGAGCUGAUGAUGGCCGUCUUGCGCUCAUCAGCGAACCCCAGGUUGAUCCGCUUGGUUUCUUCAGUCGGCCGCAUAGAGGUCACGGCCUGAGCUUCGUUUGCCGGUACGGCGAGGUCUUCCUCAGGCUUAGAGUUCGCCGGCGUAGAAGGAACCGUUGACGGCUUGGUGGUGAGGGCUGCUUGGAUGGCCACUCGGAAACAUUCUGCGGCGCCUUGGAAGUCGGCGCGCACAGUUAUGAUUCCUUGCGGUCCUGGCAUCUUCAGUAUCAUGUAUGUAUAGUGCGGAAUGGCCAUGAAUUUGGCCAGCCCCGGCCUCCCGAUGAUGGCGUUGUACCCGCAGUCGAAGUUCGCCACCUCGAACCUCAGGAACUCGGUUCUGUAGUUCUCCGGAGUCCCGAAGGUGACCGGCAUGUAGAUGUGGCCCAGCGGGUAUUCCCCUUCCGUCGGCACGAUGCCGAAGAAAGGAGUGUCUGACUCGUGGAGCUCUUUGAGGUGAACUCCCAAGCCUUGGAGCGUACGGGGGAAGGUGACGUUGAUGCUGCUCCCCCCGUCCACUAGCACCUUCUUUACCCGGCUCUCUCGGAUCACCGGAUCGACGAGGAGCGGGUAUCUGCCUGGAUGGUCGAAGUUGAGCCAUUGAUCCUCCCGAGUGAAAGUGAUCGGGUGCUCCGACCACCGGUACGGGGCGGGAGGGCCGGUGGUCGCCACCAGUAUCUGGCGGUCGUUGAGCUUUUGUUGUCUUUUGUUCUCCUGCGACCCAUGUCCACCGAAGAUGACGUUGACCUCCCUGUCAACGCGUGGGAAAGCUCCUCCUCCCCCCUCCUCCUGCUGAUGGGGCUGUCGUGGUUCAUCUGGUCCCCCCCUCGGCGGAGGAGGCGGUAGAGGUUGGAAGGGUCGGCCGUGCCCGACGGAGUGCUUGAAGUCCCGGCAGUUACGGAGAGUAUGGCGCAUGUCCUUGUGGUACGGGCACUGGGCGUCGAGGAUGUCGUCCAGCGUGCGCUCGCCUCCACGAGGCCCUCCUCGGGCGCGAGAGGCGGGUGGUCCGGCGGCGUGUACUUCUUCACGAGGCCUCUUCUCCCAGCGUUUGUCGGGUGGCUGGUUCGCGUCGCGUCGUGGUGCUGCCGGUGCAGGCUUUGCUCCUCCGAUGAGAUCCUGGGCCCGCUCGUCGGCGGUGAUGUAGAGGUCGGCUUCCCGGAACAGCUCCUCGGAGGUAGUCGGCGCCUUUUGUAGUAUGGCUCGGACGAAAGCCGAGUCAUUGGAUCCUCUGUAGAAGUCCUCGAUCACGGCCGCCUCCGUGACCUCGGGGAUGCGGUUUCUCAUGGUCUGGAACCUUUUGAGGUAUGACCGGAGAGUCUCGUCCCCUCGGCGCUUGAUGGAUUUGAGGUCCCAUGGUUGCGCUGGCUUGUCGGAGAGGGACUGGAAGUUGGCGAUGAAGCGUCGACUGAAGUCUCCCCAGUCGUCGAUGCAGUGUCGGGGUAGAUGUCGUAGCCACUGCAGCGCAUCUUGCCCAAGGACGAUGGGCAGAUACGCAGUCAUGACGUCUUCGGAUGCUCCGGCAGCCCGAGCAGCGGUGGUGUAGACGGCUAACCAACCCCCUGGAUCUUGCUUAGGUUCAUAUUUGUCGACAUUGGAUACCUUGAAGUUGGGAGGCCAUUGGAUGGCCCUAAGGCGCGGAGUAAGAGCGGAUACUCCGCACGUGUCCUCCUGUCGUCGGGGAUGUCGUCUGUCCCGGGGAGGGGAGUGGUGGUGGUGAUUCCUCGACCGUCCCCGGGUGGUACCGCCAGUUGAAGCUGUUGCCGACUCAGUCCUGGUGGCCUGGCUUUGAGUCGGGAAGGCAUGAUCUCGGUCAUACUCCUCCCGACGGCGAAUUUCGUUUUCAUGCCGUCGUUCGCGCGAAGCAUUGAUAGAGCUUCGCGCGUCUCGGCGACUGUUGAUGGCGUGUCGCAGAUCGUUCGGCGGGUGAGCGAGCGACAGAAGAUGGUUGGCCGCCUGAGUGAACAGGCGUCGGUAUCCCUCGGCGUCGGGAGUCCGAGGAAGUCCGUCAGCUAUCCGAGCUAGUACGCCUCCGACUUCGCUCGGCGUGUUCAUAGCUCGGGCAAAGUCGGGGUUCAGGUUGCGCCCGAAAAGCGGAUUCUCCCGGCGUUGCCUUGCAUCUUGCUCGGCUUGCUCCUGAAUCCGUCGGCGGUCACGUCGUCGGGAGUUCCUUCGUUCCCUGAAGACGCGUUCUUCCGGAGUUUCUCCUACCUCCGAGACCUCGUCUCGCGAGACAGGCUGCUCCGGAUCCCGUUCCCCGGCCUCGUGAUGUCGUCGAACGUUCCUGCGUCGGUUCCUCCGUCGGCGGGAUUCUCGUUGAGGUGGUUCUUCUCCAGGCGUGGUCGGUUCGUCGUCAGAGACGGCGGGCGACUCCACUCUCCCGAUGAAGAGGACGUCGGGGUAGAAUGGUACUGCUGUCGUGGCGACUUUCUUUCCGUUCUCCUUUGAGGCCGGAGGAACGGGAAGAACGACUUGCCUUUCCCUGGUCUCCUUCUUUCUCGCGACCCGUGUCCAUUCUUUCGUCGGGGAAGUAGACAGCGGAGUCUUCCGGGUCAGCGAGCUUCUAGCUCCAGCCUUCCCGGAGACGAUCUUUUUCCGAAGAGCCGGAGGUAGCGUCUUUCCAGCAUUUUCGGAGUUUGUUGGAGGAAACUUCUCUUCUGGCAGAUCUGCGAUGCGGUGUAGAAUUCCCCCUUCAUCCGCUACAGAUGAGAUUGUCCCGAAGCAGAAUACAGAUCCGGGACGCACGGUGAUCUUGCUGUGGAAGAUGACGGCCAUUGAGCUAGCUUGGAUCGUCGACACACACCCCUACCUGGCGCGCCAGCUGUCAGUGUUUUGGGUCCGACCGCACACCCGGGGUUGCCCCUCAAGGUGUUUUUAGGAGUAGGACGGUGUCGACGACUGUAGCAAAAUGGUUCGUGCCGAUCGCACGAGGGACAAUGGACAAGAUUUGCAGGUUCGGGCCGCUUAGAGAUGCGUAACACCCUACGUCCUGAUGAGUGUUCGAGUGUGGUUACAAGAGGACUCUCUGGGUUGAAGGCACAGAGAGUUUACGUGGGUGGCUAAGUAAAGUAGGGUCGAUCGUUCUGAAGGGGUGCCCCCUAGGCCUUAUAUACUCGACCGUGGGGCAGUACACGUGGAUAUGAUAACAACAAGUAGCUAAAAGAUAGUGAACCUCUUGAGUUUAUCCCUACGUAACCCUCGCCGACUUAUCCUCGCAUGGCUCCGUUGCAUGGGGGCUUCAGCGCGGGAAAGUCGGGUCUCUGUUGCGAUUCAUUCGUUCGACGUUGUGGGCCGUCCGGGUUUGCACCAAUCCAGUCUCAUGUCUUCUCUUCUUUGUUGGUUGUCUUUCCCCAGGCCCACGAAAGAAUGACCUUACGAAUUAUUGGGCCCUUGGGCCUUUCGUGAGGUCUUUUACUUCUUUAGUGGACCCAGGGGAUAUCUAUCCCCCACACAAGGGUAUGCUGGAUAAAUAGGAAUCAAGGAGAGGCUUUAGCAAGAAUCAACUUAUAUACUUUUGCAGAAAUAGCUUACUAAAGUGAGUCCUUACUUUCAACAUUUUAACGCCAGAUUAAAUAUUAAUAGACUCUGUUUGCCUCUAGUCUAAUUUCAUCAUUUCAUCAAUACAACAUCAUUUUUAUUCACGAAGUUCACAUCCUGACUUAGGUUGUAGGGCAGUGAUCAAGUCUCCACUCUCCGGGGAUAUAACGGCGAUCCGAAUCGAUUUACUCAGCUGAGGAUCUCUAACCACACGACAUAUGUAGCACUUAAUCCUUGCAUAUGUCAACUCGACCCCAGGGUUCUUAAGACCAGAUCAGGUUCACGCAAACCGAGAGCACAGAUACACCACCGUCCAGCCUCUUGCCACGGAGGGUACACGCUACUCCCGCCACCGCUCCACGCCCAUUUCGUGUUAUCUUAUUCUGGCCUUAGUCUGCCCGAGGCAAAGCUUACCCUGUCCCAUUUCCAGGGUAUGCGGCUAGCUAAGAUAGUCCUUGCUCUAUCAAGCCUACAUACGCAUUCAAUCCUUAAUCAACCUGGGUAGAACAUCACCUGUUCCUAGCCCAAGUCUCGAUUUAUGUAUUUCCAUCCUUAGGAUUGUUUCUGUUCCUUAGGAUGAAAAGAGCAUCACAGGGAACUUUGCAGUAAGAUCCCACCAUGCUCCCAAUGAAAAUAUAUUCUUGCAGGUAGAAGUCAUCUUUCCUCAGGAUAACCCCUGAGCAAGGCCUUAACGCAAAAGACAACUUCCAUCCACAAGAUCUAAGCAGGGCUAAGCAUUUUUGUAAAUCAAAUUUUGAUACUUCCAAAGAAGUAUCUAUAACAGGUAUGGAUAUCAAGGAAGGCAAUGCAUCAAAGGGUUUCAAGCAACUCCUAUAAACUUAAUGCACAUUUCACUAGACUUAAAGUGUGCGAAAAGUAUUUAAAAACACAAGGAAGGGGUUGCAUGCACCGGGGCUUGCCUUUGUUAGUAGGUGAGUCAGGCUCGGACUCGCAGAUGUCGAAGUAGAGCCAAGUCUCUGCCUGAGAUUCCAAAGGUGGUGAUGUCUUUUCUUCAGUCACUUCACCCUCUUCUCCGUUUUCUAAAUAUAACCAUAUAGGUAUAUAUAUAAGAAUGAAUGCCAUGUAAUGCAAACUAUCACAAGGAGAGGUGGAGAACAGAAACACUACAACUAAAGCACAUGACAAGAAUACACCUAUUUCUUAUCGCUCGAUUAAAGUGACCAAAUUGAAAUCACUUGGGUAAACCAGGGAAUUACCCCAACCAAGGUCUCAAGCAAAAGCUUAAAACUCCUUAAGUAACUUCAUCCAAGGGUCAAGAUCUCACUAGAUCAACAUGCCUCUGCCCCAAAAGCACUUAGUUCCAUAAUUAAGUAAGGAUUUAAUAACUAUUUUUGGAAUUUUUCUGUGAUUUCUAACAUAAUUUAUAAGCUCUUGAUAAAAGAAAAGACAAGGCUGUCAACAGUGUUGGGCCCCAAAUUGCUGGCGCGACCCAACAACCAGGCAAAGCUGGCCCAAACCCGGGAGCCCGCGCCCGCUUUGGCCAUCUUGCACAAAGGACCUUGCGCUCUGGUUAAAAUAAUCCGAGCUCCCAGCCACUGUUGCUUGUGUCUCUGACAUCUUCGCUAAAACCCCUCGGCUACCACUCUUUUACAAGCACUCGGCCCCGACACUGCCCGCUCGGACUCCGGUGACCCAGUGCCAGAUCGGCCAUGGUGGCGCAACACCGGCGACGGCGAUGGUACCCACGUGAACCCCGAAUCGCAGUGAACUCGGGUAUGGGCUCAAUCAAUCCGUGAGAACUCCACAACCCAUCUAUCGACAGCGACGACAGAGCACUGGAUUUGACGAACUUAAUUCCCCGAUCACCGCACGGUAGUGUUCAAACAAACGGGCCAGGGAGCUUUAGAGACCUCUCGAGUCUACGGUGCGCGCAUGCAAUCGCUCGGGAACUGGCGUGGUUAAUAUAGUUCACACCGAGGCUGUCCUCGGCGCCCGACUGCGACGGCGCGACCAUGUUCUACUCAACGUAUGGUGGUAAAGCUUGAACAAACCACUUGAUCAGCUUCACUGAUCAAUACAGAGCAUGGAACACAAGCCAUACGGGUGAGAAACUUUCUAAGCAUACCUGGCCACGGUGAAGUGGAGGAUCUGCAGGUGUUCAGUGCCUUGAUUAAUGGAUUUGGGCGUGUCCAGGUUAUGAUUUUGGAGGAAGGGAACACAAUACAACUAACUGAAGCUACACAUGGUGAUCAAGAACUGAGACAAGGAUUACUCCUCUGCUCCU
This 16730-nucleotide long non-coding RNA is filed under the name Zea mays. RNAcentral describes it as "long non-coding RNA (ZMAY_LNC003446)". The record is from RNAcentral. Lineage: Eukaryota; Viridiplantae; Streptophyta; Magnoliopsida; Poales; Poaceae.